This is a non-coding RNA of Tetranychus urticae (two-spotted spider mite), 1562 nucleotides long. The record is from RefSeq and is a predicted model, not a curated record. Lineage: Eukaryota; Metazoa; Arthropoda; Arachnida; Trombidiformes; Tetranychidae.
CGUUAUUAGAUUUAACAAUCCUGGUUUGGAAAAAGCAGUUUAAGAAGAUGAAUAAGAGAUAAAAGAAGAUACCUGUUCUGACCUAGAACCCGUCCAACCGCCGUAUUAGGACAAUAAUGUAUACCUGGACACUAUUUUCAUGUACGCUAUAUUUACAUAACCUUUGACUUUUGGUGCAAAGUAUAUCUGAAAGUGACGUAUUACAAGAUGGACCAUUCUUGAUGCAUACCGGUUUCAUGACAGUUGAAACUAUCAGAUUAAUUUAGAGUCAACAUUAAUCAUUUAACCUUUCACUGUCAUUGAAAAUUUUGACCAUAAAAGAGAUGAACCUUUUGUUUCAUGGUAUUAUUGAAAUUAUUACCACUUCUUGAUUGUAGAUUAAGAUAAUAUGUAAAUUGUUUUUUGCUUGUUUUUUCAAAAAAAUACCGUUAAACUAUUAAUGAAAUUUAAUAACUAACCUUAAGGCUGUUUCACUGAAUGAUUUAUUUUAAGAGUUACCAUAACGGCGAGAAUAGUAUUUGAUGUUCAAAUAAGCUUCAAUCAUCUUCAUCAAAUCAAAUAUAAUAAUCUAAUAUUAUCGUCUACUUAUUAUUUCACUUUCAACAUGAAAAUGGUCAAUUAAUACAAUUCAAGUACACCGAUAGCAAUAAUAUUAGAUGAUUAUAUAAUAGAUGAAAAUAUUGAAGUAUGAUUUGGUUAAAUUGACUAACAUUUUCAUUUCUCAUAACAGAAAUUGCUUUAUUGGUACAAAAAAUACAAUGCAAAUGUAGAAGAUAAUAUUUGAUGAUCUGAAGCAUCGCAAGCAUGAUCGAUGGUCUUGGUGGACCUUUUCUUGUUCAAUUGUGAAUAUAAAGAAUUCAAAGAAAUAGUUUUUAACCAUUUAAAAGGGAUUAACCAUUUGAUUGUGAAAAUGUUAUUACAAUAGUUGACCAUGAUGUUGAACAAAUUAUAUGGCUUUAGCACAAAGGACUGAACUCAAUCGGGAACAUUGCUGUUUGACAAUAAGUGACCAUUUGAAAGCUUGGUAUUGAUAGCUGUUUUCUGGCCAUGAAAAUAUGAUUAAGGAUGCAAAUUAUAAAUGACUGGCAUCAUCACAAUUCCAAGCCAGUGUAAAUAAUACAAAAACAUGUCAAUCAAGAUUUAGUGUUGAAAGAAGCUGGAACAACUGAGUUUAUCUAAUUUCAAGAAUCAAAUCAAAUAUGAUCGAUUUCCCCUCUGAUUUGAUAUCAUCAGUUAAUCAUACAAAACAGUCUCAAGUCUCUGGUUCACCAGACAAUUGACACAGGAGGCUCUUCAUAAUAAUACAAUAUGCAAGAAUAUGUCAGGUGACAAUGGUCAAUUGUUAUUGUUAAAUCGUAGAUCACAAUUGUAGAUUAAUAAAUUGUACCCUUUUCCAGUUUGAUUGAGGAAUCAAAGGGCUAAAGAUUAUCACUGACUGUAUCAAUGAAACGAUAAUCACUUAGACUCAACUAUUGCAAUCUUUUGAAAAGCCUGUAAAUAUCAUUAAAUUAAAUUGAAAUGAGGGAUUCAUUAGUGCAUUUGCCUGGAGCAAUGUUUUUGAA